GGGGAUGUAGCCCAGCAGUAGGGCGCUUGCCUACUGUAAGUGAGGUCCUGGGUUCCAUCCCCA
RNAcentral lists this transfer RNA (63 nucleotides) under Heterocephalus glaber (naked mole-rat). It matches the Rfam family "tRNA". Rfam says of the family: Transfer RNA (tRNA) molecules are approximately 80 nucleotides in length. Their secondary structure includes four short double-helical elements and three loops (D, anti-codon, and T loops). Lineage: Eukaryota; Metazoa; Chordata; Mammalia; Rodentia; Bathyergidae. The record is from Rfam by way of RNAcentral.